Molecule: long non-coding RNA, 780 nt
Filed under: Homo sapiens (human)
Lineage: Eukaryota; Metazoa; Chordata; Mammalia; Primates; Hominidae
Description: HSALNT0155688
Source: RNAcentral
CCCGGCCCGGGUCGCGGGGCCCUGCUCCUGGGCCUCCGCCUGCUGGGUCCGCCCUGGGGGGGGCGCCCCCCGUGCCCUCCAGGCCGGGGGCUUCCCCUGACCCUUUCGGCCCUCCCCCUCAGGUGCCCUCGCGCCCCAACCGCGCCCCGCCCGGGGUCCCCAGAAUCACUAUCAGUGACCCCUGAGGAGCGUCAGCCAUGCCGAUCGGGUCAGGCAAGUCCAUCCCGUCCUGAGAGCCCCAGGCCCCCCUUCGACCUCUAAACAGAUCCCUCCUCUUCUCGGAGACCUCCCUUUCCAAGCCUGCCUGGACGGCUGUUCUGUGACUUGACAGUGGCUCCCCCAGCCCCAAAGCCAGCCCCCUUCAUCUGUGACUUAAUCUGUUGUAGUGGUGAGCUGAUACAUUCAGGUGUGACCGUUGGUGAAAACUUGUGCCCCUUCUGUGGUAUGCCCUUGCCCUGUUCUAUAAAUAUCUAUAAAUACUCAUAUAUAUACACACCUACACAUGGCCAACCGCCUCGCCUCUAGCGCUGGGAAUCAGUCACUGUGCUAUCCUUGUGGAGUCUUGUGGCCCAACUACCAGAGAACGCUGUCCCCCGACAUCCCACUCCAAAGUGUGCCACCUCCAGUGAGCCUCCUUGUCAUGCCCGGCCUGUGGACAGCCAGCCCCCGCCAUCCCUCCCACCCCCUACCAAGCAUGGGGGUGCUGUGCAGGCAGCCGUGUGGCCUGACAGUUUCUACCAGUCCUGCUGUCCCUCGGCUGAGAAUAAAACCCAUUUCUGG